GUCUGUUGGCUUACCACCCUGAACUUGCCUGAUCUCAUCUGGUCUCCAAAGCUAAGCAGGGCCAGGUUGGAUUAGUAGUAUUUGAAUGCAAGACCAAAAGAAG
This 103-nucleotide ribosomal RNA is filed under the name Marmota marmota marmota (Alpine marmot). Lineage: Eukaryota; Metazoa; Chordata; Mammalia; Rodentia; Sciuridae. The record is from RNAcentral.